RNAcentral lists this transfer RNA (85 nucleotides) under Felis catus (domestic cat). It matches the Rfam family "tRNA". Rfam says of the family: Transfer RNA (tRNA) molecules are approximately 80 nucleotides in length. Their secondary structure includes four short double-helical elements and three loops (D, anti-codon, and T loops). The record is from Rfam by way of RNAcentral. Lineage: Eukaryota; Metazoa; Chordata; Mammalia; Carnivora; Felidae.
GCCUGGGUGGCUCAGUCGGUUGAGCGUCAGGCUUCAGCUCAGGUCAUGAUCUCACGGUUCGUGAGUUCAAUCCCUGCCUCAGGCU